RNAcentral lists this ribosomal RNA (492 nucleotides) under uncultured bacterium. RNAcentral's name for it is "partial 16S ribosomal RNA". It matches the Rfam family "Bacterial small subunit ribosomal RNA", at positions 29 to 507 of the family's 1533-position model. The record is from RNAcentral.
AGUGAACGCUGGCGGUAGGCCUAACACAUGCAAGUCGAACGGCAGCACAGUAAGAGCUUGCUCUUACGGGUGGCGAGUGGCGGACGGGUGAGGAAUACAUCGGAAUCUACUUUUUCGUGGGGGAUAACGUAGGGAAACUUACGCUAAUACCGCAUACGACCUACGGGUGAAAGCAGGGGAUCUUCGGACCUUGCGCGAUUGAAUGAGCCGAUGUCGGAUUAGCUAGUUGGCGGGGUAAAGGCCCACCAAGGCGACGAUCCGUAGCUGGUCUGGGAGGAGGAUCAGCCACACUGGAACUGGGACACGGUCCAGGCUCCUACGGGAGGCAGCAGUGGGGAAUAUUGGACAAUGGUCGCAAGCCUGAUCCAGCCAUACCGCGUGGGUGAAGAAGGCCUUCGGGUUGUAAAGCCCUUUUGUUGGGAAAGAAAAGCAGCAGGUUAAUACCCCGCUGUUCUGACGGUACCCAAAGAAUAAGCACCGGCUAACUUCGUG